Transfer RNA from Pan troglodytes (chimpanzee), 75 nucleotides. It matches the Rfam family "tRNA". Rfam says of the family: Transfer RNA (tRNA) molecules are approximately 80 nucleotides in length. Their secondary structure includes four short double-helical elements and three loops (D, anti-codon, and T loops). Further hydrogen bonds mediate the characteristic L-shaped molecular structure. tRNAs have two regions of fundamental functional importance: the anti-codon, which is responsible for specific mRNA codon recognition, and the 3' end, to which the tRNAs corresponding amino acid is attached (by aminoacyl-tRNA synthetases). tRNAs cope with the degeneracy of the genetic code in two manners: having more than one tRNA (with a specific anti-codon) for a particular amino acid; and 'wobble' base-pairing, i.e. permitting non-standard base-pairing at the 3rd anti-codon position. NCBI's taxonomy places the organism in Eukaryota, Metazoa, Chordata, Mammalia, Primates, Hominidae. The record is from Rfam.
UUUAAGAUGGCAGACCCUGGCAAUUACCUAAGACUUAAAACUUUAAAAUCAGAGGUUCAACUCCUCUUCUUAACA